AGCGAGCGCCAAAACGUAUCGCAAGCGUGCGAGCAACAGAGAGCCAGAGACGUCGAGGCAGACAGAGAUGGAGCGUGCGCAGCGCUCUCUCAUCGCUGCCUUUUGAGUUUUGGACUUGCGGGCACGCCAGCGCUGCUGACGCCGACAGAGCUGCACUGCAAUACUGCACUUGAGCGACAGUCGACGGCGAAAGUCUGCGUCUGUUGCCGGGCGAAUUGAGGGGGAGAGAGAGAGAGAGAGAGAGAGUCAGAGCGAGAACAGCAAAGCGAAAUGAUUAAACGAGCAGAGGAAAUCAAUUGCAAAUGUAGGCAAAAUUGAAUUUGAUUUUUCUGAUGAGAACAAAUUCGAUUAAUAAAGUUGUUCUUAGCAAUUAGGUUUGACAACAAUAUUGCUCGUUUAGAAUUUUAAUUGCUUGGCCGUUCACUGUUUGCAUGCACUGUGUGCGAACGUCUCAUGCAAGCGGUGUUGGUAAGUGUCGCAUUGUUACUUUGGACUUGAAUUGUAUUUCAACAUGUGAAAAUGACGUUUCGAAAUUGGUGUAAUCACAUACAAAGUGUUUAUUUGCAUUUGCAAUGGGCGUGCCCGCCGGGAGGCUGGUUGGCUGGUAGACUGAACGGGCGGUCAGAUGCUGGCAGAUGGCGCGAGAGCAUCGAAAUGAGAGUGCAUGCAAAGAGAACAAACUGAAGAGAGAGAGAGAGACUGGGAGAGCGGGAGAGCGGGAGAGUACACGCUUGAGAGGACGCACAAUGCUUGACAACUAGAUUAACACGCAGAGCAUUCCCCCUCCACCCCGCACACAACCAUUUAUUAUCAAUUGUUUUGCUGUGUUUGUGUGUGUGCGUGCAUGACCUUUGACCCAACACAGAAUACUAGAACAUACAGCCGCGAUAACACGCAGUGCACUGUGCUUGACCAACACUAACAGAAUAGAAGAUCAUGUCAUCAGAGACGGAGAUGGCGCCAUGGCUGGCGUAUUACAAGUGCGUAUGUACUUACACACAUAUAUAUACAUACCUAUGUGUAUACAUACACACAUGUAUGUACUUAACUUAACAUAUACGUAUACGUAAUAUUUGCUCUGCUCAAUGUAAUUGCAGCGCAGUUCCAAAGUUCAAGCAACGGGUUCUGACUAAAUGACUUGUGCUACAAACGAACAGCUAAGCGUUGAAAUGCUACAGCAUAAGCUGCACGACUAGUGAAUACCCUGUAGCAGUAACUUUACAUGAUCUCACAUUCACACAUGCUAGAUAUGCACAGAUAUUAUAUCAAAUAUCAGCAAUUCAAUACAAAUAAUAUAUUUAUCGAAUGAUCGACUAAACGAUCAGAUAGAUACUUUAAAAUCAGGUAUAAUUGAAGUAAUAUAAGGCUCGAAUAAUCUACGUCUAACCCAUGCGUUUUGUAAGCGAAUUACAAAUUGCAUUCGCAUUAUAAAAAGCUAUCUAAUAUAAAGAGUAUAAUAUAAAUAAAUUCAAUUCGAAGUCUACAUUUCAUAAAAUUGUGGAAGAAAAUGGGAUGCUAUCGAUAACACAAUGAUCUCACUGACAUAUAGAAUAAAAUAUACACUUCGAAUAUAUAGUCUCAUUUAUCGGGAUAACUUCAGAAAUUAAUAAAUACGGUAUCGAUAUUUAUCGGUAUAUUGGUUUAUC
Molecule: long non-coding RNA, 1646 nt
Organism: Drosophila mojavensis
Lineage: Eukaryota; Metazoa; Arthropoda; Insecta; Diptera; Drosophilidae
Exons: 2
Source: RefSeq, a predicted model, not a curated record